RNAcentral lists this ribosomal RNA (254 nucleotides) under uncultured bacterium. RNAcentral's name for it is "partial 16S ribosomal RNA". It matches the Rfam family "Bacterial small subunit ribosomal RNA", at positions 524 to 777 of the family's 1533-position model. The record is from RNAcentral.
UACGGAGGGUGCGAGCGUUGUCCGGAAUCAUUGGGCGUAAAGGGCGCGUAGGUGGCCCGGUCAGUCAGUGGUGAAAGCGCGGGGCUCAACUCCGCGUCGGCCAUUGAUACUGCUGGGCUGGAGCACUGUAGAGGCAGGCGGAAUUCCGGGUGUAGCGGUGGAAUGCGUAGAGAUCCGGAAGAACACCGGUGGCGAAGGCGGCCUGCUGGGCAGUUGCUGACACUGAGGCGCGACAGCGUGGGGAGCAAACAGGG